ACCCCAGGGUGCACCCUGGACGAUGAGGCGGGGCGACACUUCUUGGCGGAGCGACACGUGUCGUGCCGCCCAUAUUUGUUCCCCCCGCCUUUGGGAUUUUCUUCCGACCCAGCAGGGGGCAGUUAGCGUUGAAACGGUGGCAACUGCGGCAGCAGAGUAAUAAUAACCAAGUUGAUUGCAUGAGGUGAAAGCAAAGAGUUAUUUGGUAGAAGUGUUAAGAAAAAGUGGAAGCAACGGUAAAAUAAAUUUUUUAUUAGUAAAAUGAGAUGGAAAAAUGUCAAAUGAACGAAUUUUAUUUGUUUUAUUUAAAAUGAUAGAUUUGAACUGUUGCCUAAGAAUCAUAAAGCACAUCGCUUUCUGCAUGGAUGUCAAUGUGUUGCUAAUUCCUACGUGAUAGUGACCUGGCUUUCACUACAUUCUUGUUUUUCUGGGUUGUCUUUUUUGAAACAUUGAAAAACUCAUCGACAGCAGAAAUUGGAUAGAGAAAACUGCCAAUACAUUUGAAGUGAAAUAUUUUAUAUACAUGCUAACAAAAGGAAUCCCGAAGCAGAUGGGUGGGAACCACUUUGGGAUUAUCAUACUAAUGAAUGAUGCCUCUGAUUAGUAGGUGGUGGUGUUCUGUUCUCCUGGACAAUCACUCAACCACUGAGGGGGGUCUUCACUAUUCAAAAGGCAAUGUCUUCAGGCAGAGUCCAGUGAAGCAGGUGACUCUGCGUAUUUGACACUUUCUCUGGGAUGCAGAUGGUUUAUGGAUGUGGUCACUCAAGAUGUUUUUCAGAAAGCAGUGCAACACUUUACAUGGCCAGACGACUUUAAGGUGUGGCCAUCUGGAAGAAUUUCAGUCCUGUCUACUGGACAGAGUUUAGAUUGUGUACAGUGUCAGGGAAUGCUUGCAGUGCAGAGCCCUUUUCAAGUCAUACCCACCAGGGUUUAGGGGAAGAGGCCGACGUGGUGAACUUCUGUGCUUUUACUUAAAUGUUUGUACAGGAUUUUGCUUCCAGGACUGUUUUUUUUUUUUUGCGGCAGGAAAUUCAUUGGUGUGUUAAGCGAGAAUGAACUGAGAUCAACUGGUUUUGAUGUAUGAAUUAAUAAUUUAAAGUUAAACUUUGCAGUGUAUAGUGUUCUAAUAAAAAAGCUAUGGCAAACACGUGCAUGAAAACAAGGUUUCAGUCAUUUACAUCAGUCUAUUGUUCUUUAGGGUUUCUCAAUUCCAUGUAAACAUAAUUUGCUAUGUACUAAGCAGGCAUGAAGUCCAUCUAAUUAAUAAAUUCUUAAUUUAGCUGUGACAAUUUUUUGUAAUAGGCCUAUUUAAAUGACCAAUGAUUUUAGAAAGAAAGUGUUUAAAGAUAAGUUUUUUAUAUAGAAAUGGGAGACUACAUUUAGGAUUAAUAGGUUUCAGUAAUGCAGUUCAGAAAUCAGAUACGACCUAGUUACUUCCUUGCGAAAAGUAAUUUUUAUUGGUAAGAUUGACCAUUUUAAAAAGUAAGGUUUUAUUGUUGUAAAAGUAUACAUAUAAUGUGUGUGUUUGAAUAUAUUAAUCAAGGUACAUCUACAUAACCAUGCUUCGCAUUAUAUUGUCGUUUCACUUACAAAAACCAGCGAGUAAUGUCGAGGUAACCUUAGUGUACUGAGGGUGUCAGCUGUUGAGGGAGUAAAUUAAACCAUUUAUUUCUAUUCUGUUCGUCGUAAUCCUCAAUUCUUUGUAUAUCUGUUUUCAUGAAAUUUUGUGGAAUUGAAACGAUAAACGCAAAAACACAAUUUAUAUUCGCUUUUUAAUAUAUAUUAAAAGUGUAUUCGUCUCAAGAUUCGUCUGAAUGGCUACUUCCGCAUUCCAAGCCUGCUCAAAGCGUCAUAAUUCUCUACAGCAAUAAGUUGUAAAAG
Misgurnus anguillicaudatus (oriental weatherfish) is the source of this 1881-nucleotide non-coding RNA. The record is from RefSeq and is a predicted model, not a curated record. NCBI's taxonomy places the organism in Eukaryota, Metazoa, Chordata, Actinopteri, Cypriniformes, Cobitidae.